This 478-nucleotide long non-coding RNA is filed under the name Hermetia illucens (black soldier fly). Its description in RNAcentral is "uncharacterized LOC119647300, transcript variant X1". Lineage: Eukaryota; Metazoa; Arthropoda; Insecta; Diptera; Stratiomyidae. The record is from RNAcentral.
CAUUGUGUAAUCUCUGACUUAUAAAUCAUCUACAAGCGCUAUGCGUGUACAUAAGGCGAUAUCCAUUAUUUGCUAGGGAAAAUACACACGAAAAGCUGUGUUCGAUGUUUUCCUUAAACCCACGCGCAGAUAGAUGGGCCGUUAACUGCAAACGAAUAGCCAUUUCUCCUGCUUCAACUAUUAAUCGACGGCUGUUGCCUCGAUAAAAAUUAAGUGCACACGAAAAUUCCUAGCGUAAUUGCUGGUUGGAUGGUGAGUUGAAUAUGGGAUUGUGUAUGAAAAUGGAGUAUAACCACUGAUUUUACGAGUUACAAUUCAAUUUGUAAACACAUUGCAUGACAAAGACUGCGUUUCUAACUUUCAAUAUAUACAAUAUUAUGUUGUCCAAGAAUUAAUGGUGAAAUGUCUUCGAAGUAGCAUAAAUCUAUCUAAAAAAAUUAAUAAUUGAAAUAUGUUAAGAAUCAUUUGAAUUAACGAU